CCGAACUCGCCAGGACAGAUGACGACCUGGUGACCUACGCCGUCGAGGGCACCAUCUAUCUCCGGAGCCCCGUUGAUCUCAUGACCCUCGCCGCCGCCACCACAGGUGAGCAAACAUACACGCCGUAUCCUUCCCUGCUUAUGUCUGUAUACAUAUGAGGUUGAUUAUUUGUUACGUGUUCCAAAGUGAGAUUGCUAAAUGGCGGCUGCUCUUACAGGAGCGGUGCCACCCUUCAAGCAGAGCUAGAAAGAGUGAUACUAUUCUUUGGUCAGGUUAUGUUUGCUAAUUGCUAUGGAUUAUUAUUUUGAGAAAAACAAUUAUGGAACUCAAUGUCUGUUAUGUCCUUUUCUGAAUUUGCAGCCGCUAAGUUUCCGAAGCUUGAUCGACAUCUUUUUAAGCAAUAGUGGUAAUCACGAGUGGC
RNAcentral lists this long non-coding RNA (421 nucleotides) under Triticum aestivum (bread wheat). RNAcentral describes it as "long non-coding RNA (TAES_LNC005562)". The record is from RNAcentral. Lineage: Eukaryota; Viridiplantae; Streptophyta; Magnoliopsida; Poales; Poaceae.